GUUGGUUGUGAGGGUCGUGAGCCCUGGGAAGAAGUGCUGCUACUGGUGGCAUCUUCUGUUCUUCUCCCAGGGCCAGCACUGAGGUCCGGGUGAUCAGGUUGCUCAGCCUCUUCUCGCCUUCAGCGUCUCCAGCGACGGGGCCGGCUUUUCCCCUGUUUCCUCCAGCAGAGCCAGGAGGCUUGGUGGCUUGGUCAAGGCAUGCCGGUCUUGAGGGCCCUCAGCAGUGUGGGGAGCACGAAGUACGCACUGCUGCUGCCUGCGGCCACCCUGGCUCAGCCCCAGCAAUGCACGAAGAGCUGCCUUUGGUUCCUGAUUAUGCACACACCCACAUUUGUGGAGCCCAGCUUUGCUUAGAUACUCGCGUAGCCAUGCAGGAGGAGAAAGUGAGGAACUCACCAGCCCUUGUUUACCGUCUGGUUUCAAAUCUGGGUGGCAGCAUGCUGAGAUAGUGUACGAAAUCAAAGGACAGCAGGCAG
Molecule: long non-coding RNA, 476 nt
Organism: Gallus gallus (chicken)
Lineage: Eukaryota; Metazoa; Chordata; Aves; Galliformes; Phasianidae
Source: Ensembl